GAGUAGGCUUUUAAUCACUUGAAAGCAUAAACGGCAAUUGCUUAAAACGUAUUCAUUCGCCUGUUAACAAUUAGCUCAAAGCUGAAUUAGAUAGUAUCCACUGGGAGUAACAGUUCUCUGACAAGAAUCGUCGCACGCACAAUACAAAUCAGCUGUCUCCAUAGAACCGUCCACCUUACAGUAAUGUAUGCGAUCGGUUGGCAAGAUUGGUUGACACGCUUUUAACAAAUACAGCCGAAGCAAUUUCUCUACCCCGGAAUAUGAUGUCUCACCCUGAGUCACGUACGGGGCUCUGGAACUGGAAGCCGCCGGCGCCCUCAUCAUGCUGCGCUAUCAGUUCGAGGAUCAGGAAGUAGAAAACAUGUUUGCUUUUUGCUCCUCCAACUCUGUGAAACGAUUUACAAAGCCGCAGCAGAUCGUCGUCGCCAAGCGCACAUCUAAAGAGCCGUCCACCUGCUCUAAAUCCCACAAGUUCGCCAAAUCUACUACAUGAGCCCAGAACAGUGCAAACUAGAGUAAGAUGUUCUGGAAAACAAAAUGAUCUAGAGCCCCCUAGACAUAGAAGGCGAUCUCAUUGGAUUUUUUUUUUUUGUAAAAUUACUAGUACGAAUUGUAAAUCAGACAAUUCGAUUGACUUCACGCCAACAGCACAAAAUGUGCAAAGUUGGCUGCGCAUGUUAAUGUAAGAUGGCGGCUCUGUAAGCUAUUUACACAAAUGGAUGAAAACAAACAAAAAUGUUGUUACCAGUUACCCAUAGGACUAAAUAUUAUUAAGACUUCUUAAUCAAUACAAAUAUCGUUCUGCAGCAGUUGUAAUAAAAUCUGCAAAUAUAUAGUGCAUUAACAGCCGCAGCCAAGUUCAAUCCAGAAGCUGUUAACGUAACAGCCGAUCUAACAGCUUCAUUUAUCGUGUCGCAUCCCUAGCUUGCUCUGUGAAAUUUGCGUAGUUUUAAGAAAAUAAACUAAUAAAAUGGCAUUGCUUCACUCCAUCGUUAUCAUCAUCGAUACACACAUGCAGACGUAGACGAAUUCGCGGGAUGUGUGCCACAGCAGCCACUUAUUGAAGCGCACUGAAAUUUAGAUGCUAGUCCAACGAAUCGCACUAUCCGUCAUAGCUUGGCCCUUGGAAGAGUCUCAUGUCGACCAUCAAUCAAUGUCGGCAGCCUCGUGCCAUGUGGAGACACUUAUACGCUAUCACAAGAGACACCCUGGGACACGGACAAAGCUGGGGAAAUAGAAGAGGAUAAUUCACUUAUGCCCGACUGUGCGUCAAUCCACUUACGUGCCUCCGAUGGGACUUCGGAUGUAUUACAUUUGCCAGCAGCCUGCUGCGAGGCGAAAAGUUCAGCGAGGCGCUGGUGGUGGCUACGCUGAUAGGCCAACACUUUUUUACGGUUGGUCAGCUUGGUGCGAUGACGCUCCUGCAGGGAUAGAUUGUCCAGAGGCGCAUUCAAGUUCGACAAGCCAUCGAAAGUAUCAAAGUCUGCAGUUGGAAUGCGAUCCCAUUCGGGAGCUGGAACCGGAGUCUUAUUUCCGAAGGUAACUUCAGUGACGGUUUGAAUAAAAAGCUAACUUGUUCCUA
This is a long non-coding RNA of Drosophila miranda, 1582 nucleotides long. RefSeq lists it as uncharacterized. The record is from RefSeq and is a predicted model, not a curated record. The transcript is spliced from 3 exons. NCBI's taxonomy places the organism in Eukaryota, Metazoa, Arthropoda, Insecta, Diptera, Drosophilidae.